UAGAGUUUGAUCAUGGCUCAGAUUGAACGCUGGCGGCAGGCCUAACACAUGCAAGUCGAGCGGAUGAAGGGAGCUUGCUCCCUGAUUUAGCGGCGGACGGGUGAGUAAUGCCUAGGAAUCUGCCUGGUAGUGGGGGAUAACGUUCCGAAAGGAACGCUAAUACCGCAUACGUCCUACGGGGGAAAGCAGGGGACCUUCGGGCCUUGCGCUAUCAGAUGAGCCUAGGUCGGAUUAGCUAGUUGGUGAGGUAAUGGCUCACCAAGGCGACGAUCCGUAACUGGUCUGAGAGGAUGAUCAGUCACACUGGAACUGGGACACGGUCCAGACUCCUACGGGAGGCAGCAGUGGGGAAUAUUGGACAAUGGGCGAAAGCCUGAUCCAGCCAUGCCGCGUGUGUGAAGAAGGUCUUCGGAUUGUAAAGCACUUUAAGUUGGGAGGAAGGGCGUUUGGCUAAUAUCCAAGCGUUUUGACGUUACCGACAGACUAAGCACCGGCUAACUUCGUGCCAGCAGCCGCGGUAAUACGAAGGGUGCAAGCGUUAAUCGGAAUUACUGGGCGUAAAGCGCGCGUAGGUGGUUCGUUAAGUUGGAUGUGAAAGCCCCGGGCUCAACCUGGGAACUGCAUCCAAAACUGGCGAGCUAGAGUACGGUAGAGGGUAGUGGAAUUUCCUGUGUAGCGGUGAAAUGCGUAGAUAUAGGAAGGAACACCAGUGGCGAAAGCGACUACCCUGGACUGAUACUGACACUGAAGUGCGAAAGCGUGGGGGAGCAAACAGGAUUAGAAUACCCUGGUAGUCCACGCCGUAAACGAUGUCAACUAGCCGUUGGGUUCSUUGAGAACUUAGUGGCGCASCUAACGCAUUAAGUUGACCGCCUGGGGAGUACGGCCGCAAGGUUAAAACUCAAAUGAAUUGACGGGGGCCCGCACAAGCGGUGGAGCAUGUGGUUUAAUUCGAAGCAACGCGAAGAACCUUACCUGGCCUUGACAUGCUGAGAACUUUCCAGAGAUGGAUUGGUGCCUUCGGGAACUCAGACACAGGUGCUGCAUGGCUGUCGUCAGCUCGUGUCGUGAGAUGUUGGGUUAAGUCCCGUAACGAGCGCAACCCUUGUCCUUAGUUACCAGCACGUUAUGGUGGGCACUCUAAGGAGACUGCCGGUGACAAACCGGAGGAAGGUGGGGAUGACGUCAAGUCAUCAUGGCCCUUACGGCCAGGGCUACACACGUGCUACAAUGGUCGGUACAAAGGGUUGCCAAGCCGCGAGGUGGAGCUAAUCCCAUAAAACCGAUCGUAGUCCGGAUCGCAGUCUGCAACUCGACUGCGUGAAGUCGGAAUCGCUAGUAAUCGUGAAUCAGAAUGUCACGGUGAAUACGUUCCCGGGCCUUGUACACACCGCCCGUCACACCAUGGGAGUGGGUUGCUCCAGAAGUAGCUAGUCUAACCUUCGGGGGGACGGUUACCACGGAGUGAUUCAUGACUGGGGUGAAGUCGUAACAAGGUAGCCGUA
Molecule: ribosomal RNA, 1505 nt
Filed under: uncultured bacterium
Lineage: Bacteria
Description: 16S ribosomal RNA
Rfam family: Bacterial small subunit ribosomal RNA
Source: RNAcentral